RNAcentral lists this ribosomal RNA (252 nucleotides) under uncultured bacterium. Its description in RNAcentral is "partial 16S ribosomal RNA". It matches the Rfam family "Bacterial small subunit ribosomal RNA", at positions 524 to 776 of the family's 1533-position model. The record is from RNAcentral.
UACGGAGGAUGCGAGCGUUAUCCGGAUUUAUUGGGUUUAAAGGGUGCGCAGGCGGCGAGUUAAGUCAGCGGUAAAAUUUCGGGGCUCAACCCCGGCAAGCCGUUGAAACUGGCUUGCUAGAGUGGGCGAGAAGUAUGCGGAAUGCGUGGUGUAGCGGUGAAAUGCAUAGAUAUCACGCAGAACUCCGAUUGCGAAGGCAGCAUACCGGCGCCCAACUGACGCUCAGGCACGAAAGCGUGGGUAUCGAACAGG